UCGGGGCAAGAGCCAGGCCUC
Molecule: non-coding RNA, 21 nt
Filed under: Arabidopsis thaliana (thale cress)
Lineage: Eukaryota; Viridiplantae; Streptophyta; Magnoliopsida; Brassicales; Brassicaceae
Source: RNAcentral